UCGCUGGUGACGCAGUCAGUGGAGAGACGUGGAGUGCUGGCGAGCGGCGGCCGCGCCAGGCCUGCCCGUGAUUUUCUGUUCGACAGCGGCUGGACGCAGUGCUGAGUGACAGAGGGGCGUGGGACGAACUCUUUUGUCGCGCAGUGGAAGGCCGACGGGGAGCGCCCGAACUGGACCAAAGAUGGCGCACCGUCGCGGGCCUCCGGCGAACGAAUCUACGCCGAUCUGUCGGUGUCGCGUGCUCUACCUGGGCUCCUCCGUGCCGCACAUUACCAAGGACGGCCUGCAGGGCAUCCAGGAGCCGCUGAGAGAGCUCUAUCCCAGUGAGGGCAUCUCGGGAGCCAAAGGCAUCGACUCGUGGCUCAGCGUCUGGAGUAACGGCCUCCUCCUGGAGAAUGUCGACGAGAAACAGAAGAAAAUCACCCGCUUCUUCCCGAUCGAGGUGCUGCACUACUGCGCCGCUGUGCGCUACGUCAUGGUUCCGGCCAGCUCCGGCGGCGACCAGGAGCGGGUGGCGCGCUUUUUGCCUCUCGACUCUCCGUUCGCCCGCAGUCCGAGCAUCGCGCACCCGCCGCUGUUCGCCGCCAUCCUGCGGCGCACCACCGGCAUCAAGGUGCUCGAGUGCCACGCGUUCAUCUGCAAGCGCGAGACGCCGGCCAACGCGCUGGUGCGCUGCUGUUUCCACGCGUACGCCGACUCGAUGCAGGCUCGCCAGAUGGACGGCGGCGUGUACAGUUCGAUCUACGGGCCGGCGUCGAGCAGCGCGCGGCCCGGCCGACUGCCGGCCGACCAGUCCGUGGCUGAGGCGCAGAUCGACGUCAUCGAAAAGGUGGAGGAGUGGCAGGUGGACCAGUCGGUGCCAUCCACCUCUAACGGCGGUGACGCCGCGGCCGGAGACGAGCUCUCAGUCUACAAUGGCGACAAGAACCACAAAGUGUGGGCCGGCCCGGCGCGCAGUGAGCGCGAGGUGAUUUACAACGAGUACGAGCUGGCCGGCCGCGGCGCCUCCAUUUACGGCUCGACCGGCUCGCGCGCCGCCCGUCCGCGACAGAUGGUGAUGCCCGCGGCGCCGCCGCCGCCGCCGCCCACGCCGCCGCCAGAGACAGAAGUCAAGAAAAAGGCCAGGAAGCAGAAGACGCGGGGAGAGCGUGGCUCGGCCGGCUCUCCGUCCCGUGCCGCCAUGAUGAAUGGUCAGGGACCGAGCGGCCACACCAUGGGCGGCCCUGUGACGAACGGGCACGGCCCUCCGCUAAACGGUCACGGCCCGCCUCUGAAUGGGCACGGCCUUCCGCUGAACGGGCACGGCCCUCCGCUGAAUGGGCACGGGCCGCCGGUGAACGGUCACCGGUCGCCGCAGAGGGUGGCCUCUCGCCAGGAGCGGCGGCCGGCCGGCGCGGCCGUGUCCCCGCGGCAGAGGGUGGCGCGCGCGCGGCCGCCGCCGGCCCACCUGUACCGGCCCCCGACACUGGUGUACGGGCCGGCGCCGCCGCCGCCGCCACCGCCGCCGCACAUGGCGCCGCUGGUGGCCACCCCUUACGGACCGGCCGUGAUGACACUGCCGUACCGACCGCGGCGCUCGGCCUCGCGCGCCGCCGAGGAGCCCGUCUACCUGCCGUCGGCGCGGCCGCUCAGUCCGACGGCCUCCUACCAGCCGGCCCACUUCCCGCACGAGGCCUACCUGAUGCAGCAGCAGUACGCCACUGUCGACCGGCGGCGCAAGACGCGCAAAAAGUCCCGCAAAGAGGAGGAAUCCCCGCCCAACACGGGCAUCUACAAGCGGCGCAACCACCUGAACGAGAAGGCGUUCGGCUUCUCCAUCCAGCAGGAGCACCGGUCGCGCUCGUACGGCUCGCUUGCCAACGCUGACGGCGCCGAGGGCCGGCCGCACUCGCGGGAGGAGCUGCGCAAGAGCCGCGAGAUGCAGCAGAUGCUGCACGAGCUGGACCUGAGCGCCGACGAGCUGGAGCGCUCCGAGGUGCGGCCGGGCCUGUACCGCGGCCCCGACUCCGUCUCGCAGCUCAGCCACCACUCGCACCACUCUGGCUUCAGGAGGUUGUGAAGGUUCCACGGGCCGGCGAGAGGCUGAGCGACGUCGGGUCAAGAAGCCGCCGCCGGCCGACGCACCGUUAGCCGAGCGACCGGCCGAGCGACGGGCCGUCCCGCCGUCCGGCUGGCCGAGCGACCGGCGCGCCGCCGCCGCCCAGCCAGGGUCCUACAUUGAGAACGGGUGCGUGGCGUGUGUGUAUGUGUGUGAGAGAGCGGCUCGGCGCGGCGCGGACCGGUCAGCGCCGGCCCGCCCGCCCGCGGCCGCCGGGCCGGCUGACCCGGAUCGCGCUGACCCGGAUUGGACCGGCGCGCCGCCGGCCGCCGAGCCAAGCGACAUUUUUAACGGUGCUGCCGGCUGGGGCUCUGCCGGCCCGCUGCCGCCGCCGGCGCGCUCUGUACGUGCUCAAACUCGGCGCCGUGUCGCCGUGUCGCCUAUGUAGUUAUACGCUAUGGAGAGUUGUCGAACGAAGGACCUAUGUGCGUGUCAAAAGGUGAAGAGGUGUGGCCAGAGGAAGGGAGCUCCGGAGCUCUCCUGUGGGGGUGACCCCGACACUGCGAACGGUGGAGUGAGGCGCCGCUCUGCCGACUGUGCUGUGGAAUAUGGAUGCCUGAAAUGUUAUAUAUCGAUAGCUGCAAUGUAAAUUUAUGUACUACUGUUCUGUGAACCGUGAACGGCUCAGCUUCUCAGCUCUAGCUGCAGGUUAAUCGAAAUGGACACCGAACAGUCAGCUAUAUUAUGACGCAUCAGCUAAGUGACGUGAAUAAUAUACUGAUGUUUUCUUUC
Molecule: unclassified non-coding RNA, 2830 nt
Filed under: Amphibalanus amphitrite
Lineage: Eukaryota; Metazoa; Arthropoda; Thecostraca; Balanomorpha; Balanidae
Description: uncharacterized LOC122387726, transcript variant X2
Source: RNAcentral